Gadus morhua (Atlantic cod) is the source of this 1457-nucleotide long non-coding RNA. RefSeq lists it as uncharacterized. The transcript has 3 exons. Lineage: Eukaryota; Metazoa; Chordata; Actinopteri; Gadiformes; Gadidae. The record is from RefSeq and is a predicted model, not a curated record.
GGCAGAGAGGAAGGUCCAACCCUCAACAUCCCAGUCCCACCUCUCAGCCCCCACAGUAUAUAUAUCUGGUGAGAGAUCUGCUCCCCCUCCGACUACGACCUCCCCAGUGAUUAGAGAAACACAACCUCCAGCAAUCUUAUCUCCUUCUGUCUCCAAAGGCACAGUGACCAAUCAGGGCAAAGAGAUGGAAUCCCUGUCCCUCGUCCUGCUUCUCCUCUCCCCAGCGUUCGCUAUGCCAAUGAGGCGGUUGGUGUCCUCCUCAGAGACGUCCUCUGAGUCUGAGUCCCAUGAGUCCUCCUCCUCCUCCUCCUCCUCCAUUGAGUCCUAUGACUCAGCUUCCUCCUCCUCAGAAGAAGAAGAGGAGCGUUCCACCCCUGGUACACUGGCCCCUCCCACUGUUGCCGUAACAACUAUCACAGCGGCGGACGUGGACACGACUGCAAUGGGACCAAUCACGGAGGGGAGCACGCCCACUGCGGCCACGCCCAUUAUGGUGACGGACGCGUUGACAGGCAGCGUUACCUUCACAGAGGUCAGAGGAGACGCCUAACAGACUGAGCUCCUGGGAACAUCCUGUUGACUUAAAGGUCUCAUGUUGUCCUGGUUCUAUCCCAGGGGAGGUCUGUCUUGUUGUUAGGACAUUGGUAGGACAUGACGUCUGUCAUUGUGUUAUAGUUCUACAUCAGCAUUUAUAUGUACACACCCAGGGGAAAAGUAUUAUAUUUCAACGAUACUUUUGAAAGAAUGUACACUUUUAGCAUGUAACUGUACUUUGUGCUUUUUUUGUCGCCUUCAUGGUACUCAAGAAGUCCUUCAGUACUACUUGACUAUUACUUUAGUAUCCUUUAAGUGUAAUUAGUAAGUAUGCUGUAUUGGAACAACUUUUUAGGAACUUUGUGUGCUGAACAGUGAAAAUUUCGAUUCUUGAGCAUUCUAAACACACUUGCAGGUGUUUUAUAUAAUAUAUUUAUAGUGUUUUAAUUGUAUUAUAUCACAAGUGUGUUGGAAAUAUACUGAAAAAGCCUUUAUACUUCAAUUGAUAGUAUUGUAGAGGUGUAUUUUGUAAACAUUUGGAAACUACUCUUUACUAUUAUUCUAGCAUGCCUGUAAUAUUUCAAAAUUAAUUAUAAUGCACUUUCUGAUUGCAUUUAGGAUUUUUAAAGUGUGCUGUUAUGUUAUACAAAUGUGUGUACAACAGUCAGUUCCGACCAAGUAAUUUCAUUGGACAAGAGGCAUUCCAUGAGUGCUGAUAUAGAGUAUAAAAGCACUGGGACUUAACUAAACAUGUAUCACUCCGCUUAACAGCUGUUUUAAAAACCGUUAAUGUUGUUAACAGACUUUAUGUAUCUUAGAUUGCUAGUAUGUUUAUGUGUUGCUUGUCAACAGUUCAGUCCCAGUCCAGUUGCGGAUCUAUUUGUGUUGGCGGAGCCAAAUAAAUCAUUAAAUAAACAAACAAA